AGCGAACGCUGGCGGCAGGCUUAACACAUGCCAGUCGAGCGGACCUUUCGGGGUCAGCGGCGGACGGGUGAUUAACGCGUGGUAACGUGCCUUCCGGUUCGGAAUAACCCUGGGAAACUAGGGCUAAUACCGGAUACGCCCUUAUGGGGAAAGGUUUACUGCCGGAAGAUCGGCCCGCGUCUGAUUAGCUAGUUGGUGGGGUAACGGCCUACCAAGGCGACGAUCAGUAGCUGGUCUGAGAGGAUGAUCAGCCACACUGGGACUGCGACACGGCCCAGACUCCUACGGGAGGCAGCAGUGGGGAAUAUUGGACAAGGGGCGCAAGCCUGAUACCGCCAUGCCGCGUGAGUGAUGAAGGCCUUAGGGUUGUAAAGCUCUUUUAUACGGGACGAUAAUGACGGUACCGGAGAAAUAAGCCCCGACUAACUUCGUG
This 433-nucleotide ribosomal RNA is filed under the name uncultured bacterium. RNAcentral describes it as "partial 16S ribosomal RNA". It matches the Rfam family "Bacterial small subunit ribosomal RNA", at positions 29 to 507 of the family's 1533-position model. The record is from RNAcentral.